AGCGAACGCUGGCGGCAGGCUUAACACAUGCAAGUCGAGCGGGCAUCCUUGUGGUGUCAGCGGCAGACGGGUGAGUAACGCGUGGGAACGUGCCCUUCGGUUCGGAAUAACUCAGGGAAACUUGAGCUAAUACCGGAUACGUGCGAGAGCAGAAAGGUUUAUCUGCCGAAGGAUCGGCCCGCGUCUGAUUUGCUAGUUGGUGAGGUUAUGGCUCACCAAGGCGACGAUCAGUAGCUGGUCUGAGAGGAUGAUCAGCCACACUGGGACUGAGACACGGCCCAGACUCCUACGGGAGGCAGCAGUGGGGAAUAUUGGACAAUGGGGGCAACCCUGAUCCAGCCAUGCCGCGUGAGUGAUGACGGCCUUAGGGUUGUAAAGCUCUUUUCUCCGGGACGAUAAUGACGGUACCGGAGGAAUAAGCCCCGGCUAACUUCGUG
Molecule: ribosomal RNA, 437 nt
Filed under: uncultured bacterium
Lineage: Bacteria
Description: partial 16S ribosomal RNA
Rfam family: Bacterial small subunit ribosomal RNA
Source: RNAcentral